CCCUUAGAUGUUCUGGGCCGCACGCGUGCUACACUGAGUGGAUCAGCGGGUCAGGUUGCGCGAAAGCGUUUCCUAAUCUUUAAAUCCGCUCGUGAUGGGGAUUGACGGUUGCAAUUUUCUGUCAUGAACGAGGAAUACCUUGUAAGCGCGGGUCAUCAUCCCGCGCUGAAUACGUCCCUGCCCUUUGUACACACCGCCCGUCGCUCCUACCGAUUGAGUGGUCCGGUGAGGCUUUGGGAUUGUGGUUCUUGCCGCUUUAUUGUGGCGUGACCGCGAGAACUUGUCUAAACCUUAUCAUCUAGAGGAAGGUGAAGUCGUAACA
This 322-nucleotide ribosomal RNA is filed under the name uncultured eukaryote. RNAcentral describes it as "partial 18S ribosomal RNA". It matches the Rfam family "Eukaryotic small subunit ribosomal RNA", at positions 1470 to 1796 of the family's 1831-position model. The record is from RNAcentral.